This 433-nucleotide ribosomal RNA is filed under the name uncultured bacterium. RNAcentral's name for it is "partial 16S ribosomal RNA". It matches the Rfam family "Bacterial small subunit ribosomal RNA", at positions 29 to 507 of the family's 1533-position model. The record is from RNAcentral.
AACGAACGCUGGCGGCAUGCCUAACACAUGCAAGUCGAACGAGACCUUCGGGUCUAGUGGCGCACGGGUGCGUAACGCGUGGGAACCUGCCCUUAGGUUCGGAAUAACUCCCCGAAAGGGGUGCGAAUACCGGAUAAUGUCUUCGGACCAAAGAUUUAUCGCCUUUGGAUGGGCCCGCGUUGGAUUAGCUAGUUGGUAGGGUAAAAGCCUACCAAGGCGACGAUCCAUAGCUGGUCUGAGAGGAUGAUCAGCCACACUGGGACUGAGACACGGCCCAGACUCCUACGGGAGGCAGCAGUGGGGAAUAUUGGACAAUGGGCGAAAGCCUGAUCCAGCAAUGCCGCGUGAGUGAUGAAGGCCUUAGGGUUGUAAAGCUCUUUUACCCGGGAUGAUAAUGACAGUACCGGGAGAAUAAGCUCCGGCUAACUCCGUG